GACACUGACAUACACUGACAAAACCACCUUAUGCUCGGUUUUACCUCAUAUUUUGAACAUUGAACAUUGAACAACAAAAAUAUUUCUACUGACUACAGUGUUGUUCUGGCUUGCAGGCCAGCUGCUGCUACCAAUGCCAGAGUGCUUGCUGGGGACCCAAACACCAAGCCCAUAUGUCUUUGUGGGAUGCGAGGCAUUCCCUCUGAGGGUAAACCUGAUGCGACCAUAUCCAGGGUCUUAUGGCCUUGAUGACACUAAGAUCUACAGCUACUGCCACUCAAGAACAGGAAGAAUUUCCGAGAACUGCUUUGGGCUCCUUGCUACAAGACACACGGAUCCUAGAGAAAGCUGAGACCAUUGUGAAGGCCUGUGUGGCCGUCAACAAUUACCUGCACCACAGACAUGUAACAAAAGACAUGUAAAUGUUGGAGUGUGGUUUGGAAAACGUGUUUACAUACAUUCUCUUAUUCUGGUUGAUGUCUGUCAUGUUGAGCUACACAAAAUGGUUUCCCUGUUCUUCUUAUUCACACUUUACAAAUCACAAUAAAGAUUACAAU
Molecule: long non-coding RNA, 557 nt
Organism: Salvelinus sp. IW2-2015
Lineage: Eukaryota; Metazoa; Chordata; Actinopteri; Salmoniformes; Salmonidae
Source: RefSeq, a predicted model, not a curated record